GUCCAAAGCAGGACUGUCUGAUAGAAUGUUCCAGGAGAACAGAACAUCCCCUAUGGCAACCACCAGCCAGAUGUGGCUACUGAGCUCUUGAGAUGUGGCUAGUAUGACUGAAGAAUUGAAUUUUGAAAAGAUUUAAUUUAUGAUAACUGAAACUUAAAUCUAAAAGGCCACAAGGAUCUGGCGAUUACCAUAUAAAACAGCACAGAGGGAAAGGGACACGUGUAGAUACUGACAUCGCUGCUGGGUGAAGCCUCCAGAUGGAGUCUCACUCUGUUGCCCGGGCUGAAGUUCAGUGGUACAAUCUCAGCUCACUGACACCUCUGCCUACCAAGUUCAAGUGAUGAUGGCUAUAACAGACAAUGAUACCUAUGAGUAUGCAGAAACAUAAUGUAAAGCACAGGAGGUAGAGGGACCUCUAAUGGCUUCAUCUGCUCCUGAAAUACAUCUCUCCAGACCUGAUAUUACACAUUGACUGCCAGGGUUGUUCUUCCAAGUGACUACAGACAUUGCUCCUUAUCUCCAGCUAAAUAGCUCAUGUUUACUGAGCACUUAUUAUGUGCUAAGCAUUCUGCUUGGAUUUUUCUCAUUAAAUACGUCACACAGCCUUAUGAAAUUGAUGCUUUUAUUAUACCUGAUUGAAAGGUGGGAACACUGAGGGUUAGGAGAUUUAAAUGACAGCUAAUAAGUGGUU
This is a long non-coding RNA of Callithrix jacchus (white-tufted-ear marmoset), 691 nucleotides long. RefSeq lists it as uncharacterized. NCBI's taxonomy places the organism in Eukaryota, Metazoa, Chordata, Mammalia, Primates, Cebidae. The record is from RefSeq and is a predicted model, not a curated record.